This 531-nucleotide ribosomal RNA is filed under the name uncultured bacterium. Its description in RNAcentral is "bacterial SSU rRNA". It matches the Rfam family "Bacterial small subunit ribosomal RNA", at positions 8 to 501 of the family's 1533-position model. The record is from RNAcentral.
AGACUUUGAUCCUGGCUCAGGACGAACGCUGGCGGCGUGCCUAACACAUGCAAGUUGAACGGACCGACAUACCGGAACCUUCGGGGGAAGGUGUGAAAGGUUAGUAGCGGACGGGUGAGUAACACGUGGGCAAUCUGCCCUUUAGACUGGGAUAACACCGGGAAACCGGUGCUAAUACCGGAUACGAUCCAACCCUGGCAUCUGGGUUGGAUGAAAGGAGGCCUCUCUAUAGAAGCUCCCGCUAAAGGAUGAGCCCGCGGCCCAUUAGCUGGUUGGUAGGGUAAUGGCCUACCAAGGCGACGAUGGGUAGCCGGCCUGAGAGGGUGAACGGCCACACUGGGACUGAGACACGGCCCAGACUCCUACGGGAGGCAGCAGUGGGGAAUAUUGCGCAAUGGGGGAAACCCUGACGCAGCAACGCCGCGUGAACGACGAAGGCCUUCGGGUCGUAAAGUUCUGUCAAGUGGGACGAAGUCUUAACGGUUAACAGCCGUAGAGGUGACGGUACCUAAAGAGGAAGUACCGGUGAAA